UACGGAGGGUGCGAGCGUUGUUCGGAAUUAUUGGGCGUAAAGAGCUCGUAGGCGGUCUGUCACGUCGGCUGUGAAAACCCGAGGCUCAACCUCGGGCCUGCAGUCGAUACGGGCAAACUAGAGUGUUGCAGGGGAGACUGGAAUUCCUGGUGUAGCGGUGAAAUGCGCAGAUAUCAGGAGGAACACCGGUGGCGAAGGCGGGUCUCUGGGCAACAACUGACGCUGAGGAGCGAAAGCGUGGGGAGCGAACAGG
RNAcentral lists this ribosomal RNA (253 nucleotides) under uncultured bacterium. Its description in RNAcentral is "partial 16S ribosomal RNA". It matches the Rfam family "Bacterial small subunit ribosomal RNA", at positions 524 to 776 of the family's 1533-position model. The record is from RNAcentral.